AGUGGCGCACGGGUGCGUAACGCGUAUGCAACCUACCCUUUAACUGGAGGAUAGCCCGAAGAAAUUCGGAUUAAUACUCCAUAGUAUCACCAGAUGGCAUCUGAAGGUGAUUAAAGAUUUAUUGGUUAAGGAUGGGCAUGCGUGACAUUAGCUAGUUGGUGAGGUAACGGCUCACCAAGGCAACGAUGUCUAGGGGUUCUGAGAGGAUGAUCCCCCACACUGGUACUGAGAUACGGACCAGACUCCUACGGGAGGCAGCAGUAGGGAAUAUUGGUCAAUGGACGAGAGUCUGAACCAGCCAUGCCGCGUGUAGGAAGACGGCCUUCUGGGUUGUAAACUACUUUUAUACAGGAACAAAUAGUCCAUGCGUGGAAAGUUGAGUGUACUGUACGAAUAAGCACCGGCUAACUCCGUGCCAGCAGCCGCGGUAAUACGGAGGGUGCAAGCGUUGUCCGGAUUUAUUGGGUUUAAAGGGUGCGUAGGCGGUCAAUUAAGUCAGUGGUGAAAUCCUAUAGCUUAACUAUAGAACUGCCAUUGAUACUGGUUGACUUGAGUACAGACGAGGUAGGCGGAAUUUAUGGUGUAGCGGUGAAAUGCAUAGAUACCAUAAAGAACACCGAUAGCGAAGGCAGCUUACUGGACUGUAACUGACGCUGAGGCACGAAAGCAUGGGUAGCGAACAGGAUUAGAUACCCUGGUAGUCCAUGCCGUAAACGAUGCUCACUCGAUGUAUG
Molecule: ribosomal RNA, 734 nt
Filed under: uncultured bacterium
Lineage: Bacteria
Description: bacterial SSU rRNA
Rfam family: Bacterial small subunit ribosomal RNA
Source: RNAcentral